UAUUCUUGUUUGGGAUCUCUAUAUAAAGCUCGCAUCCCAUGGCCAUAUCAUCCACCUUCAUUCCUCUUGCUUCUCUUUUGUGACCCAGGCUCUGUUGGAAAACAGAGACCCAGUCUCUGCUCUCUCUGUUUCUUCUUCACUCAGUUCUGAGUUCUCCUUAGCAAAUCAUUGUUCAGCAACUUCAUUUAGAUUUUCUCAUACUUCUCUUUAAGAUCUUCUUCUGCUUCUCUUACUAAAUCCCUCUUCCUCUCCAGUCUUCACAUCGUUUCCGUUCUAAAAAUUCCAAAACCACUUCCUUACUCUAUUCACUCUUUGUCUUCUUCUCACACCUACCAUGGCAACCGCUCCUCUAACACCCCAAAAGAAGAAAACCACUGCCCUUUCACCAACAAAGAGGGGCAAAAUCAAGGCUCGGAUUCUCGGAAACUUGGUCAAAGCUGUGCUCUCCAUGGUCAAACCCGGAGAUCAGGGAAAAAAGAUAGCCACUGAAGUUGGUGGAGGCUCUCCCUCUCCAACACCACCACUCAGUGGCUACAACUCCUAUGGCAGCCCCAAUGUUUGACAGACAUGGCUCACCACCAACAUGUCAAAACUCAACACUCUCAUUGCAAGCCUGGUUCUCUGAAUUGGGUUUUGCAGCAUAUCCUUGUUAUCUAUCGAAGCUGUUGAAUUCUGCCAUUUUGAGCCAGAUCUUCAACUUCAGCUGUGUUUUUCAGUAGGUGUCUAGACUAGAGUGUGUGUUAUUUGGUUUUUACAUGUAGAAAUCAGAUGUGGGUUUUGAUUAUGUUUCUGCAAAACUCAUUUUUGGGUCAGUCUUGCAGAACACAGUGGACCCACAUAAGCUUAUCUGAUAUGAAAAUGUCUUUUAGGUAUGUUUUUUCGAUUACAGUCUUAUAGGUAUAUUGGUCUUCCUAUUAUUGUCAGUUUUUGUUGGGACAAAAAGGAAAAAGAAAAAGGCUGCAGAAAAAAAAAAAAUCCUCUUCCAUGGUUGUUUCGGCGAGUUUUAGAGAGGAAUUACAUUUGGAAGAGGCAAUUUGUGUGUUUUAUGAGUUCUGGUUUGUAUCGUUGGUUGGAUAUAUAAAUUUAUGAUUAUGUUUUUUGGAUUCAUGCUAUUUUCAUUUAUAGAUGUUAAGAUCUUAGAAGUAUUGUGGUUGAUAGAAAUUUUGUCUUUUUAUUAUUAAUUGUAGCCGCAUCCAUUCACACACUGCAAAUAAAUUUGUACUCUAAAAUCACAAGACUUUAGGAUCUCAAAAACAAAGAGUGUUUUAUGGGCUCUCCUGUAGAAGAACACCAAGAUGCAUGUAAAUGUUGUUGGCAUUAGAUAUUCAAUGUCAUGUCAUACACUUCAAUAUAUUAUCUAACAACUUCGUUAUGGCAUGAACAAAUAUAUUUUGAACAAGAAUGAAGAGCGAAAUAAUAAGGUGUGGUAUAGAAUUGCUUAAAAUAUUUAGUUUAUUCUCAUAUCUCAACCGAAAUUGUUUUAUUUAAUUUAUUAUGGAUCUAAAGUUGUUCCCAUCUAAUGAUAGAAAUUAUAGUUUUGUGGUUGGGGGUGGCAGUCAAUGUCCAAUCACGUACUAUGAGAUAAGAAGUUGUCACAAAGAUGAUGUGAAAUUAGGACAAACAUGCAUACAUAUUCCUAAUGGGGUAGUAAAAGUGAUCCUGUAGAAUCUUGUUUAUCAUUAUUUGCUUUCAAUUAUCAGAAAAAAGAUGGUGAUGAAUUUAUUCCUGUGAGUCGGGUCAAGUCAAUGCCCUAAACUUUAUGAACAAAUGGAUAGAUCGAGCACCGACUAACCCUAUUGUAUUAUUUCUCAAUAAUGGCCGGCGGCCACAAAGUGAGAAUUAGUUGAUUAUAAGUAGGGCUGGGAUUUGGAACCGUAAAACCGAAGGAACCGCACCGAACCGCACCGAAAGUCUCGGUUCGGUUCGGUUCUACGACAUAUGUAUACACAUUUUUUUCGGUUCGGUUCCUAGAGACAUAUUCUCGGUUCGGUUCCGGUUCUUGUUUUUAAAACAUCCUUGGAACCGAAUUACAUAUGUCAGUGUAUAAGUGGACAUUAGUGGUGAGCUUAUUUCUGUAAAAUAGACCCUUUCUCAUGUGAUCGGGCCUUCCAAAUGCAAUCAGAGCCUUGCAUCUCAUCUCAUAAUAUCCUAACCGUUCGAUCAAAACCCUAUCUGACUUAUCUCUUCGACUCUUCCCGAGUUCCCUCAAACUCUCACUCUCUCAGUCUCUCGAAACACAAACGGCGGCACGGCGCUCCCUCGUCUCGUCUGUUGCUCGUCCAGUCGUCCGGUCCUCGUCGCUUCUGUUGCUCGUCCACUCGUCCUCGUCGCUCCUGUUGCUCGUCCAGUCGUCCUCGGCUCGAUUGUAAUAGAAGAUCGAAACCCAGACGACCUCCCUCGAAACCCAGACGUCCUCCGGUCUCCGCCUAGAUUGCAGGAGGGACUGGUCAGAUUGUCAGAGGAAUCUUCAUGUGUAGCAAUGCAUAAUUGCAUAUACUAAUUAGGUCUGUUUUAAACUUUUAAUUUGGCCUUGCUUUUUAGUCAAUUUGGUGUCCUGUGUUUACAAUUUAGCUAAUUUGGUCAUGUUUAUCCGGAUUGGCAGGAAAUUCUGAGGCGUCAGCUAAUUCUGAGGCUUCAGCUUCAGCUUCAGCCCCUACAACCAAGAAGAAAAGGCAAAAAAAAUGAUGCAGCUGCAAUUUAGUUUGCUGCAAAUUGAUUUAUUUGCUGCAAAUUGAUUUAGUUGUCAGUAUUUUAGUUUGCUGCAAAUUGAUGCAGCUGCAUUGUUUAAAUUGGACUAAGUUUUUAUUGUUUAUUUUUAUUUGCUGCAUGUGAGACUUUGAGUUUGCGGUUUAUGCAUGUGAAACUUUGAGUUUGUAUUGCUGGAAAUGUGUAUUAUUGCAGACUUUCAGUUUGUAGUUGUAUUGCUAGAAAGUGCUUGAGUGUUUGUGUUUGAUAGUUUGAGAGUUUUGAACUUUUGAUUGUUUGAUAGUUUAAUGCUUUCAUCACUUUCAUGCUUUGACAGUUUGGGAGUUUGCAGGAAAUUGUUAAUUUGCUAUGUUGAUGUUGAUUGUUGAAUAUGUAUAUUGUAGAUACUGUUUUGAGUUUGAAUGAGUGAAUAAAUUGUGAUA
Molecule: long non-coding RNA, 3128 nt
Organism: Rosa rugosa (rugosa rose)
Lineage: Eukaryota; Viridiplantae; Streptophyta; Magnoliopsida; Rosales; Rosaceae
Exons: 2
Source: RefSeq, a predicted model, not a curated record